This 392-nucleotide long non-coding RNA is filed under the name Sinocyclocheilus grahami. RNAcentral describes it as "lncRNA (ENSSGRG00000054206.1)". Lineage: Eukaryota; Metazoa; Chordata; Actinopteri; Cypriniformes; Cyprinidae. The record is from RNAcentral.
AGAUGACAGACAAGGAUUUCUCUCCACUGGAGACUCCUGAAAUGAGACGAUCCCCUGUUCCAGAAAUUCAGUUCGGUCUUGAGGACAUCCCAGAAGAGAGGGUCCCAGAGAUGGAAGAUAUUACAAAGGGUAUCGAGGAAGAAUUAAGGCCACGGGAUGCUAUUGAAGGUUUGGUGACCUUUCACUCUCUGCUGCCCCCUCAGGCCAGCCGCAGAAUUGUUGCCCAAAUGUUUUUGAGAUUGCUAGAGGAAAUAGUCGCAGGACAUGUCACAGUGCGACAGGACGAGCCGUAUGGUGACAUAAUCAUUUCACAGCUGUAGAUCGAUGAGGACUGAUGAGGACUUGCCAUUGUUUCUGGACAAAACUGGUAUGAGGAUAUUUAUUCACAUGGG